AUGGGGAUCCCAUCCUUACUACUGGGGAGAGGAUCUUCUACACCAGUUCACAGCAAGGUCAAGCAUUUAUAUCUUAAUCUCUAUAGAUACACUUGUUUGACCUGCAGAAAAAAAGCCAUGUUCAUAACAACACACGUGCUCCAGAAAGCUCCUGUCUGCACCAGUUUGUAUGGGAGUUGCACAACUUAUUUCCAGCAAGAUUCUAUCCUUUUUCUGAAAAAGUGA
RNAcentral lists this long non-coding RNA (225 nucleotides) under Parus major (Great Tit). Its description in RNAcentral is "lncRNA (ENSPMJG00000000043.1)". Lineage: Eukaryota; Metazoa; Chordata; Aves; Passeriformes; Paridae. The record is from RNAcentral.